ACGGGAGGCAGCAGUGGGGAAUAUUGCACAAUGGGCGAAAGCCUGAUGCAGCGACGCCGCGUGAGUGAAGAAGUAUUUCGGUAUGUAAAGCUCUAUCAGCAGGGAAGAAAAUGACGGUACCUGACUAAGAAGCACCGGCUAAAUACGUGCCAGCAGCCGCGGUAAUACGUAUGGUGCAAGCGUUAUCCGGAUUUACUGGGUGUAAAGGGAGCGCAGACGGCAAGGCAAGUCUGAAGUGAAAGCUCGGGGCUCAACCCCGGAACUGCUUUGGAAACUGUUUAGCUAGAGUACAGGAGAGGUAAGUGGAAUUCCUAGUGUAGCGGUGAAAUGCUUAGAUAUUAGGAGGAACACCAGUGGCGAAGGCGGCUUACUGGACUGUAACUGACGUUGAGGCUCGAAAGCGUGGGGAGCAAACAGGAUUAGAUACCCUGGUA
This 434-nucleotide ribosomal RNA is filed under the name uncultured Lachnospiraceae bacterium. Its description in RNAcentral is "bacterial SSU rRNA". It matches the Rfam family "Bacterial small subunit ribosomal RNA", at positions 341 to 792 of the family's 1533-position model. Lineage: Bacteria; Bacillati; Bacillota; Clostridia; Lachnospirales; Lachnospiraceae. The record is from RNAcentral.